UCAGAUUGAACGCUGGCGGCAGGCUUAACACAUGCAAGUCGAGCGGAAACGAUGAUAGCUUGCUAUCAGGCGUCGAGCGGCGGACGGGUGAGUAAUACUUAGGAAUCUACCUAGUAGUGGGGGAUAGCACGGGGAAACUCGUAUUAAUACCGCAUACGACCUACGGGAGAAAGGGGGCAGUUUACUGCUCUCGCUAUUAGAUGAGCCUAAGUCGGAUUAGCUAGAUGGUGGGGUAAAGGCCUACCAUGGCGACGAUCUGUAGCUGGUCUGAGAGGAUGAUCAGCCACACCGGGACUGAGACACGGCCCGGACUCCUACGGGAGGCAGCAGUGGGGAAUAUUGGACAAUGGGGGAAACCCUGAUCCAGCCAUGCCGCGUGUGUGAAGAAGGCCUUUUGGUUGUAAAGCACUUUAAGCAGUGAAGAAGACUCCUCGGUUAAUACCCGUGGACGAUGACAUUAGCUGCAGAAUAAGCACCGGCUAACUCUGUGCCAGCAGCCGCGGUAAUACAGAGGGUGCAAGCGUUAAUCGGAAUUACUGGGCGUAAAGGGAGCGUAGGUGGCUCGAUAAGUCAGAUGUGAAAUCCCCGGGCUCAACCUGGGAACUGCAUCUGAUACUGUUGAGCUAGAGUAUGUGAGAGGAAGGUAGAAUUCCAGGUGUAGCGGUGAAAUGCGUAGAGAUCUGGAGGAAUACCGAUGGCGAAGGCAGCCUUCUGGCAUAAUACUGACACUGAGGCUCGAAAGCGUGGGUAGCAAACAGGAUUAGAUACCCUGGUAGUCCACGCCGUAAACGAUGUCUACUAGUCGUUGGGUCCCUUGAGGACUUAGUGACGCAGCUAACGCAAUAAGUAGACCGCCUGGGGAGUACGGCCGCAAGGUUAAAACUCAAAUGAAUUGACGGGGGCCCGCACAAGCGGUGGAGCAUGUGGUUUAAUUCGAUGCAACGCGAAGAACCUUACCUGGUCUUGACAUAUCUAGAAUCCUGCAGAGAUGCGGGAGUGCCUUCGGGAAUUAGAAUACAGGUGCUGCAUGGCUGUCGUCAGCUCGUGUCGUGAGAUGUUGGGUUAAGUCCCGCAACGAGCGCAACCCUUGUCCUUAGUUACCAGCGGGUUAAGCCGGGAACUCUAAGGAUACUGCCAGUGACAAACUGGAGGAAGGCGGGGACGACGUCAAGUCAUCAUGGCCCUUACGACCAGGGCUACACACGUGCUACAAUGGUAGGUACAGAGGGCAGCUACACAGCGAUGUGAUGCGAAUCUCAAAAAGCCUAUCGUAGUCCAGAUUGGAGUCUGCAACUCGACUCCAUGAAGUAGGAAUCGCUAGUAAUCGCGGAUCAGAAUGCCGCGGUGAAUACGUUCCCGGGCCUUGUACACACCGCCCGUCACACCAUGGGAGUUGAUUGCACCAGAAGUGGAUAGCUUAACCUUCGGGGAGGCGUUCACCACGGUGUGGUUGAUGACUGGGGUGAAGUCGUAACAAGGUAGCCGUAGGGGAACCUGCGGCUGG
Molecule: ribosomal RNA, 1504 nt
Filed under: Psychrobacter cryohalolentis
Lineage: Bacteria; Pseudomonadati; Pseudomonadota; Gammaproteobacteria; Moraxellales; Moraxellaceae
Description: bacterial SSU rRNA
Rfam family: Bacterial small subunit ribosomal RNA
Source: RNAcentral